GCAGAUGCAACCUGCCUCGUUCUUUUGAAUGAGUAAUCAGAGAGCCAGCUUUUCCUUGAUGAUACAUCCAUGUUGGACUGGCUUCAUGAAGAGUGACCUGUGCUUCUGUUUUCUCCGAGAUUGUUAACCAAGAUAACCUUUAUUUUGGGGAAACAGUUGGUCUCCAUCUCUGAGAGUCGGGUCAGACCAAAGGGCAGGAGCAGCGGCGUCUGUGAGUGUCGGCCACCAGCAGCUGGGAGAAGGCUCCGGCAAAUGUGCAAACGUGAUUUGAACAGCUGUUCCAAGGCUAUUUUUGGAUGUGGAUCUCACAAUGAUGCAUCCAGGUAAUAGCUACUCAGAACCAGGGCUGUUCCUCUGAAUCCAGGAAAAUCAGAGAAAUCUUAGAUGGCAAAGACAUCUUGAGUCUGUUACUGCCGAAGAAUGACAAAUGCUCUCAAGGAGUUUUAUUACC
Long non-coding RNA from Mustela erminea (ermine), 451 nucleotides. RefSeq lists it as uncharacterized. The transcript is spliced from 4 exons. The record is from RefSeq and is a predicted model, not a curated record. Lineage: Eukaryota; Metazoa; Chordata; Mammalia; Carnivora; Mustelidae.